This 253-nucleotide ribosomal RNA is filed under the name uncultured bacterium. RNAcentral's name for it is "partial 16S ribosomal RNA". It matches the Rfam family "Bacterial small subunit ribosomal RNA", at positions 524 to 776 of the family's 1533-position model. The record is from RNAcentral.
UACGUAGGGGGCAAGCGUUGUCCGGAUUUAUUGGGCGUAAAGAGCGUGUAGGCGGCCCGACAGGUCCGUUGUGAAAACUCGAGGCUCAACCUCGAGACGUCGAUGGAAACCGUCGGGCUAGAGUCCGGAAGAGGAGAGUGGAAUUCCUGGUGUAGCGGUGAAAUGCGCAGAUAUCAGGAGGAACACCGGUGGCGAAGGCGGGUCUCUGGGCCGAUACUGACGCUGAGGAGCGAAAGCGUGGGGAGCGAACAGG